UCUUGGUCAUUUAGAGGAAGUAAAAGUCAUAACAAGGUUUCUGUAGGUGAACCUGCAGAAGGAUCAUUAAAGAAUUUGAGCAAAUGCGCUCUGCGCAUUGCACACCUCGUGUGUGUGAUGCGCAUCUCUUUAUCUUCCACACCAAACUACGGAGAGUCGACUUAUGUUGACUUGUCCGGAAGGGAUGGGUAGUUUCGACUACCUGUUCCGACCUCUUUUAAACUCAUACAUAUAACGAAUGUUCAACCUAUUGUCUUCGGACAUGAAUAAAAUACAACUUUUGACAACGGAUCUCUUGGUUCUCCCAUCGAUGAAGAACGCAGCGAAUUGCGAUAAGUAAUGUGAAUUGCAGAAUUCAGUGAAUCAUCGAAUCUUUGAACGCACCUUGCGCCUUUGGGUAUUCUCAAAGGCAUGCCUGUUUGAGUGUCAUAACAAUCUCAUCUCUCAACUUUUUUGUAAAAGAAGGUUGCUUGGAGAUGGUGAUGGGUGUUUGCCAUGCUGUACAAGUCUGGCUCGCCUUAAAGACAUCAGUAGCUCUUAUGGAGUCCGGUCUGACUAUGUGUGAUAAUUUGAUCGCAUAGGAUGUGCUUGCACAACCGGUCUUGUUGUUAAGAGUCUGCUUCUAACCUGGAAUGGUAUGAGAGUAACUUUCAGCCAUCGCAGCUUUUUUUGUCUGACCUCAAAUCAGGUAGGACUACCCGCUGAACUUAAGCAUAUCAAUAAGCGGAGGA
Molecule: ribosomal RNA, 731 nt
Filed under: Neovossia moliniae
Lineage: Eukaryota; Fungi; Basidiomycota; Exobasidiomycetes; Tilletiales; Tilletiaceae
Description: eukaryotic LSU rRNA
Rfam family: 5.8S ribosomal RNA (bases 276-429)
Source: RNAcentral